This 301-nucleotide ribosomal RNA is filed under the name uncultured bacterium. Its description in RNAcentral is "partial 16S ribosomal RNA". It matches the Rfam family "Bacterial small subunit ribosomal RNA", at positions 509 to 808 of the family's 1533-position model. The record is from RNAcentral.
CAGUCGCCGCGGUAGUACGUAGGUCCCGAGCGUUGUCCGGAUUUAUUGGGCGUAAAGCGAGCGCAGGCGGUUAGAUAAGUCUGAAGUUAAAGGCUGUGGCUUAACCAUAGUACGCUUUGGAAACUGUUUAACUUGAGUGCAAGAGGGGAGAGUGGAAUUCCAUGUGUAGCGGUGAAAUGCGUAGAUAUAUGGAGGAACACCGGUGGCGAAAGCGGCUCUCUGGCUUGUAACUGACGCUGAGGCUCGAAAGCGUGGGGAGCAAACAGGAUUAGAGACCCCGGUAGUCCCUGUCUCUUAUACC